UACGUAGGGUGCGAGCGUUAAUCGGAAUUACUGGGCGUAAAGGAUGCGCAGGUGGCCGCGCAAGUCGAGUGUGAAAGCCCCGGGCUUAACUUGGGAAUUGCGCUCGAAACUACGUGGCUCGAGUGUGGCAGAGGAAGGUGGAAUUCCACGUGUAGCGGUGAAAUGCGUAGAGAUGUGGAGGAACACCGAUGGCGAAGGCAGCCUUCUGGGCCAACACUGACACUCAUGCACGAAAGCGUGGGGAGCAAACAGG
RNAcentral lists this ribosomal RNA (253 nucleotides) under uncultured bacterium. Its description in RNAcentral is "partial 16S ribosomal RNA". It matches the Rfam family "Bacterial small subunit ribosomal RNA", at positions 524 to 776 of the family's 1533-position model. The record is from RNAcentral.